RNAcentral lists this ribosomal RNA (617 nucleotides) under uncultured bacterium. Its description in RNAcentral is "bacterial SSU rRNA". It matches the Rfam family "Bacterial small subunit ribosomal RNA", at positions 8 to 607 of the family's 1533-position model. The record is from RNAcentral.
AGAGUUUGAUCCUGGCUCAGGAUGAACGCUGGCGGCGUGCCUAAUACAUGCAAGUCGAACGCACAGCGAAAGGUGCUUGCACCUUUCAAGUGAGUGGCGAACGGGUGAGUAACACGUGGACAACCUGCCUCAAGGCUGGGGAUAACAUUUGGAAACAGAUGCUAAUACCGAAUAAAACUCAGUGUCGCAUGACACAAAGUUAAAAGGCGCUUUGGCGUCACCUAGAGAUGGAUCCGCGGUGCAUUAGUUAGUUGGUGGGGUAAAGGCCUACCAAGACAAUGAUGCAUAGCCGAGUUGAGAGACUGAUCGGCCACAUUGGGACUGAGACACGGCCCAAACUCCUACGGGAGGCUGCAGUAGGGAAUCUUCCACAAUGGGCGAAAGCCUGAUGGAGCAACGCCGCGUGUGUGAUGAAGGCUUUCGGGUCGUAAAGCACUGUUGUAUGGGAAGAACAGCUAGAAUAGGGAAUGAUUUUAGUUUGACGGUACCAUACCAGAAAGGGACGGCUAAAUACGUGCCAGCAGCCGCGGUAAUACGUAUGUCCCGAGCGUUAUCCGGAUUUAUUGGGCGUAAAGCGAGCGCAAACGGUUGAAUAAGUCUGAUGUGAAAGCCCGGAG